UACAGAGGUCCCAAGCGUUGUUCGGAUUCACUGGGCGUAAAGGGUGCGUAGGCGGUCGGGUAAGUCUGAUGUGAAAUCUCACAGCUUAACUGUGAAACUGCAUUGGAUACUAUCCGGCUUGAGGAAUGGAGGGGAGACUGGAAUACUUGGUGUAGCAGUGAAAUGCGUAGAUAUCAAGUGGAACACCAAUGGCGAAGGCAGAUCUCUGGGCCGUAACUGACGCUGAGGAGCGAAAGCAUGGGGAGCGAACAGG
This 253-nucleotide ribosomal RNA is filed under the name uncultured bacterium. RNAcentral's name for it is "partial 16S ribosomal RNA". It matches the Rfam family "Bacterial small subunit ribosomal RNA", at positions 524 to 776 of the family's 1533-position model. The record is from RNAcentral.